UCCAUCAAAAACGGAUGCUGGGCCUGUAGUUCCUGGGAGGGCUUCGUACCCGAGACAGGUUAACGUAAUUCGGGAGAGCAACGUUUCAUCCUUUUUAUACGAGCACCUUUCGUUCUCCUUCGGCGGGGCAACCUGCCGCUGGAACUUAACAAAACCUUUUUUGCAUCUAGCAUUACCUGUUCUGAUACAAACAAUCGUUA
Molecule: unclassified non-coding RNA, 200 nt
Filed under: uncultured Paraphaeosphaeria
Lineage: Eukaryota; Fungi; Ascomycota; Dothideomycetes; Pleosporales; Didymosphaeriaceae
Description: sequence contains ITS1
Source: RNAcentral